CCAAUAGCGUAUAUUAAAGUUGUUGCAGUUAAAAAGCUCGUAGUUGAAUUUCGGGGUCAGCAGGUUGGUCGUGCCUAUGGUAUGCACUGGCUUUACUGAUUCCUCCUUCUUGAAGAACUGUAAUGUCAUUAAUUUGGUGUUGCAGGGAAACAGGACUGUUACUUUGAAAAAAUUAGAGUGUUUAAAGCAGGCUAACGCUUGAAUACAUUAGCAUGGAAUAAUGAAAUAGGACGUUUGAUCCUAUUUUGUUGGUUUCUAGGAUUGACGUAAUGAUUAAUAGGGAUAGUUGGGGGCAUUAGUAUUCAAUUGUCAGAGGUGAAAUUCUUGGAUUUAUUGAAGACUAACUACUGCGAAAGCAUUUGCCAAGGAUGUUUUCAUUAAUCAAGAACGAAAGUUAGGGGAUCGAAGACGAUCAGAUACCGUCGUAGUCUUAACCAUAAACUAUGCCGACUAGGGAUCGGAUGAUGUUAAUUUUUUAAUGACUCAUUCGGCGCCUUACG
Molecule: ribosomal RNA, 500 nt
Filed under: uncultured Glomeromycotina
Lineage: Eukaryota; Fungi; Glomeromycota
Description: partial small subunit ribosomal RNA
Rfam family: Eukaryotic small subunit ribosomal RNA
Source: RNAcentral